AAUCAACGCUGGCGGCGUGCCUCAGACAUGCAAGUCGAACGAUUAAAGCUCUCUUCGGAGAGUGCAUAGAGUGGCGCACGGGUGAGUAACACGUAAGUAAUCUACCUUCGAGUGGGGAAUAACGUCCGGAAACGGACGCUAAUACCGCAUAAUGCAGCGGCAUCGCAAGAUGACAGUUGUUGAAGAUUUAUCGCUUGAAGAGGAGCUUGCGGCAGAUUAGCUAGUUGGUAAGGUAAUGGCUUACCAAGGCUACGAUCUGUAACCGGUCUAAGAGGACGGUCGGUCACACUGACACUGAAUAACGGGUCAGACUCCUACGGGAGGCAGCAGUCGGGAAUUUUGGGCAAUGGGCGAAAGCCUGACCCAGCAACGCCGCGUGAAGGAUGAAGUAUUUCGGUAUGUAAACUU
RNAcentral lists this ribosomal RNA (408 nucleotides) under uncultured bacterium. Its description in RNAcentral is "bacterial SSU rRNA". It matches the Rfam family "Bacterial small subunit ribosomal RNA", at positions 32 to 432 of the family's 1533-position model. The record is from RNAcentral.